GGUAGCCUAGUGGUUAGAGCAGGUAGCCUAGUGGUUAGAGACAGGUAGCCUAGUGGUUAGAGACAGGUAGCCUAGUGGUUAGAGACAGGUAGCCUAGUGGUUAGAGACAGGUAGCCUAGUGGUUAGAGACAGGUAGCCUAGUGGUUAGAGACAGGUAGCCUAGUGGUUAGAGACAGGUAGCCUAGUGGUUAGAGCAGGUAGCCUAGUGGUUAGAGACAGGUAGCCUAGUGGUUAGAGACAGGUAGCCUAGUGGUUAGAGACAGGUAGCCUAGUGGUUAGAGACAGGUAGCCUAGUGGUUAGAGACAGGUAGCCUAGUGGUUAGAG
Long non-coding RNA from Oncorhynchus keta (chum salmon), 325 nucleotides. RefSeq lists it as uncharacterized. Lineage: Eukaryota; Metazoa; Chordata; Actinopteri; Salmoniformes; Salmonidae. The transcript is spliced from 3 exons. The record is from RefSeq and is a predicted model, not a curated record.